This 374-nucleotide ribosomal RNA is filed under the name uncultured bacterium. RNAcentral's name for it is "bacterial SSU rRNA". It matches the Rfam family "Bacterial small subunit ribosomal RNA", at positions 524 to 898 of the family's 1533-position model. The record is from RNAcentral.
GACGAACCGUGCGAACGUUAUUCGGAAUCACUGGGCUUAAAGGGCGCGUAGGCGGGCCGACGAGCCAGGGGUGAAAUCCUCCAGCUUAACUGGAGAACAGCCUUUGGGACCGGCGGCCUCGAGGGGUGCAGGGGCAUGCGGAACUCAGGGUGGAGCGGUGAAAUGCGUAGAGAUCCUGAGGAACACCGGUGGCGAAAGCGGCGUGCUGGACACCUACUGACGCUGAGGCGCGAAAGCCAGGGGAGCGAACGGGAUUAGAUACCCCGGUAGUCCUGGCCCUAAACGUUGGGAACUAGGUAGCGGCCUUGCAUGGGGUCGCUGCCGAAGCGAAAGUGCUAAGUUCCCCGCCUGGGGAGUAUGGUCGCAAGGCUGAA